RNAcentral lists this ribosomal RNA (239 nucleotides) under uncultured bacterium. RNAcentral's name for it is "partial 16S ribosomal RNA". It matches the Rfam family "Bacterial small subunit ribosomal RNA", at positions 116 to 354 of the family's 1533-position model. The record is from RNAcentral.
CGUGAGUAACCUGCCCUGGAGUGGGGAAUAACAGCUGGAAACAGCUGCUAAUACCGCAUAAUGCAGUUGGGCCGCAUGGCUCUGACUGCCAAAGAUUUAUCGCUCUGGGAUGGACUCGCGUCUGAUUAGCUAGUUGGUGGGGCAACGGCCCACCAAGGCGACGAUCAGUAGCCGGCCUGAGAGGGUGAACGGCCACAUUGGGACUGAGACACGGCCCAAACUCCUACGGAAGGCAGCAG